This 468-nucleotide ribosomal RNA is filed under the name uncultured bacterium. RNAcentral describes it as "partial 16S ribosomal RNA". It matches the Rfam family "Bacterial small subunit ribosomal RNA", at positions 28 to 507 of the family's 1533-position model. The record is from RNAcentral.
GACGAACGCUGGCGGCGUGCUUAACACAUGCAAGUCGAACGGAAAGGCCCUGCUUUUGUGGGGUGCUCGCGUGGCGAACGGGUGAGUAACACGUGAGUAACCUGCCCUUGACUUUGGUAUAACUUCAGGAAACUGGGGCUAAUACCGGAUAGGAGCUCCUGCUGCAUGGUGGGGUUUGGAAAGUUUCGGCGGUUGGGGAUGGACUCGCGGCUUAUCAGCUUGUUGGUGGGGUAGUGGCUUACCAAGGCUUUGACGGGUAGCCGGCCUGAGAGGGUGACCGGCCACAUUGGGACUGAGAUACGGCCCAGACUCCUACGGGAGGCAGCAGUGGGGAAUAUUGCACAAUGGGCGGAAGCCUGAUGCAGCAACGCCGCGUGCGGGAUGACGGCCUUCGGGUUGUAAACCGCUUUCGCCUGUGACGAAGCGUGAGUGACGGUAAUGGGUAAAGAAGCACCGGCUAACUACGUG